AUAUAUAUAUAUAUAUUCUUACAUUUAAUUAAUCUUUAUAUUGUUUAGGAUGAUUAAUUUAACAUAAAAUAAUGAAGUAUAUUUUUCAAUUAUUUGCUAUAUUUAAUUAAAUGUUAAAUGAAUUAGAUAAUCCGGUUAAUUUGGUCUUUUGCUCUAAAAGGCAAAUGUGAAUUACUUUUUUUUUGUUGGUUUAUCCAGAUUAAAAAUUUUGGGCUUUAAUAAAUUAUUAGACAAACAUGUAAAGAUUUUUAAAAAAUUUUGUAGGACAAGAGUAUAAUGAAUCACAUAAAUAAAAUUACACUAAAUGAAUGCACGCACACACACAUUAUAAUUAUUUUGCUUUGAAUUAAUACCAUUUUUUAUUUUAAUUGCCAGUGCCAUAAAUAAAAUUAUACUAAAUGAAUGCACGCACACACACAUUGCUUUGUAUCCUAAAUAAAAUGUUCAAUCUUUAUAUUUCAUUUGUGGUUUUGAUUAUUUGGUGGUUCGUUGAUCCAACAUUCACAAGAGUGAAGGUCAUUGGAUCAAUAGAGGGAUUCUACACUAGAGGCUAUAACCUUGGGAUCAUUUUUUAAUUUGGGAGACGUUGUACCUAGUCCUUUAAAUAAAAGAGAUCUUGUAUUCGCAAUAGAGGAAUUAUACGGAGAGACGACAUAUUGUUGACUUAUAAGUCUUGCUUGAGAGAGGAAGCAAAAGACGUGUGGUGCAUGUGAACUAUUCAUUUGGUGAGGUUAUAAUAAGAUGUCGGCAAUUACUAAAAGGGAAUCUCAUAUUGUGUAAUGUUCCAAUAAUUAGUAAUCUCUUAAAUUUAAUGAAUUCCUUGAAAAAAACACUCCUUAAUAAAAUGUAACUCCUAUCUUGAACUUUUACUUUCGUUACAUGAAGUUAUAUCAACUAGAUUAUUUUUUCGGUUAACAAAAACAUCUUAGUUAUAUAACAAAUGAUAUGUUGAUAAUGCAAGACUUAGAUUUAUGCCUUAGUGCCAUCAUGAUUCCAUGAUUGAUGUGAAAGUUUUAUUUAGUGUGAAAUAUAUAAAAUUUAUCAUGAAACUCUUGUAUGAUGAAAAUUA
Molecule: long non-coding RNA, 1069 nt
Filed under: Citrus x clementina
Lineage: Eukaryota; Viridiplantae; Streptophyta; Magnoliopsida; Sapindales; Rutaceae
Description: Citrus clementina (C. clementina) long non-coding RNA (CCLE_LNC000756)
Source: RNAcentral